UGGAACCUGAUGUGGGAGGAAACAGAGAGGCUGAGAUGUCAGAUGAGGAAGGAAGCAGAGGCAAGGGAGUUAGGAGAUGGCGAGGGGAUAUGGAGCAUCUUGGCCACUGGUUCAAAUCUGACCCAAGUGGGGAGUGCCCAGAUGUCCUCAUCAUGAUGGCUCUGUGGUUCCCCACGUGCAAUGCACUGGCUGCCUCAGUCCAGUGGGCGUCAUCGGCAGGCUCAGCAGAGAGGCUGGGGACUGAAUGGUGCCAUGGAGCCUGGACUCCCCCUAGAGGUGGCCCAUCAAGGUCAGGUUUGAGGCCCAUCGGGAGACCAGCACUGGGCGUGGUGCUUGCACUGCAGCUGCCUGGGGUGCGUGGCUAAACUGAGGAUUUUAAUCUCCAGGGCCAUUACUCUGGGGCCUGUCGCUGUCGCUUCAAUAACCCACUGAAAGCAGAUUUGGAGCAGAGCAUUGUAUGGCGACAGAAGCUGCAUUCGGAACCACAGGCCAAACUUGCCAAAUCUGAUGGCAACAGCUAGUCCCCGAGGUCCAGAGCGAGACACCUAACCGAGUGGGGCUGAGCCCCACGGCUCUUCUGGAGUCAGGCGAAGUUGCCUGGGGCAGAAGCCAGAGCAUUUGCUUUCCCGAGUCCCACGGGCCCCCUGCCCCUAGCUUCCCAGCCUACCGUUCUAGGAGGUCGAGCCGAAGUUGAUGGCCAUGGGGCAGGGUGAGCAGCUCCAUGCCUGAGCUCACUCCCAUGAGCCUCUGCAUCUCCUUGGUAACACCCAGUAUCCUAGCAACCUGCAACAAAGAGGGAAAGCAGCUGAAGCUCCUCUGAUUGAGGGGAGGGGGCUUGGCUCGUGCAGAGAAAGUUUUUGCUCUGGACAGGCUCUGCUAUGAGGCAGCCACAAGCUUAGGUCUUCCCCCUUUCUCACCACACACCAGCCUCAGCAUGGGCAGGGCUCAGCCAGGAAAGCACGGAUGCUUGGGGCGCCCUGAGCUGCUGCCAGCGGGGGGUUUACACACACAGGGCAAGCCAAGAGAUGGACAGUAGAGGGGAUCAGCAGGGACUGGAACGCCACAGGGUUGAAAGACGAGCCCAUCUCCACAGUGGGGCUGAGGGAUUCCUACCGGUGCUGUAGGCUGGAGACAGUGGGCUCUCGGAGAUGGGAGACAUUGGGGAAUGGAGAUCUUGGAUUUGGUCCACGCUGACUGCGCAGUUCCGGAUGACGUCUCGAUGAUGCGAUCCUCAGCAGUUGUGUCUGAAAAUGCAAAUCAGUUGCAGGAGUAAUGCAUGUUUCCAUCAAACCCCGCAGAACUUCUUUUAGCCUCUCCAUCCAGAGAGCGGUUUCUUUGAUACGAUCCAUCACCUGCUACAGAUGUGGGACCGGAGGAUGCCAUCCAUGGUGGAACGGCUAAGAAGCCCAAGGACCAGGAAAAGCAAGGGAGACCAAUACUUGGGACACACAGAGGGACAUGACAAGGGUCUUGGAGUGAAUGAUGGAAGCAGGUAAAAAUGAUGCCCACUUUAAGAGACUGGACAGGUUCAGGCAGAAGUGGAAUGAGAGGGGAAGGAGACCUGAGACCAGGCAAUUCUACUGAGAGCUUUUCAAGGACUUGGGCAUCACAUUGAACCUAAUAACUGGCCCCUGCACCUGCCAGAUACAGGUUAAUAGUGCUCUUUGGAGCACCUCCUACUCUCCAGCUCCUCCAUAGCCCUCACUCCGGUAUUGCACCCCUCUGCCACAGUCACCUAAGAGGACUAGAAUCCCCAGUUAGAUGGGCAAGAUGCACCUGUAAAAUAAUGUUACCAUUGUUCGUGUAACUACGUUUCUCUGGUUUGCCAUUGCAGCCGGCCUGAAUUUUUGUUUGUGUAUAAUAAAGUAGAAUCUG
Long non-coding RNA from Mauremys reevesii (Reeves's turtle), 1875 nucleotides. RefSeq lists it as uncharacterized. The record is from RefSeq and is a predicted model, not a curated record. The transcript has 5 exons. NCBI's taxonomy places the organism in Eukaryota, Metazoa, Chordata, Testudines, Geoemydidae.